GAUGAACGCUGGCGGCGUGCCUAAUACAUGCAAGUCGAGCGAACAGACGAGGAGCUUGCUUCUCUGACGUUAGCGGCGGACGGGUGAGUAACACGUGGAUAACCUACCUAUAAGACUGGGAUAACUUCGGGAAACCGGAGCUAAUACCGGAUAAUAUUUUGAACCGCAUGGUUCAAUAGUGAAAGACGGUCUUGCUGUCACUUAUAGAUGGAUCCGCGCCGCAUUAGCUAGUUGGUAAGGUAACGGCUUACCAAGGCAACGAUGCGUAGCCGACCUGAGAGGGUGAUCGGCCACACUGGAACUGAGACACGGUCCAGACUCCUACGGGAGGCAGCAGUAGGGAAUCUUCCGCAAUGGGCGAAAGCCUGACGGAGCAACGCCGCGUGAGUGAUGAAGGUCUUCGGAUCGUAAAACUCUGUUAUUAGGGAAGAACAAAUGUGUAAGUAACUAUGCACGUCUUGACGGUACCUAAUCAGAAAGCCACGGCUAACUACGUG
RNAcentral lists this ribosomal RNA (497 nucleotides) under uncultured bacterium. RNAcentral's name for it is "partial 16S ribosomal RNA". It matches the Rfam family "Bacterial small subunit ribosomal RNA", at positions 28 to 507 of the family's 1533-position model. The record is from RNAcentral.